UGUUAGCCCCGAUUGCAGCGGCAUCCUUUUUUGGUUGCGUAGCGAAGUCGAAGCCACCAAAAAAGAUAUAGCGGAAAGCGGGACGGGUA
This 89-nucleotide small RNA is filed under the name Chryseobacterium koreense CCUG 49689. RNAcentral describes it as "Flavo-1 RNA". It matches the Rfam family "Flavo-1 RNA". Lineage: Bacteria; Pseudomonadati; Bacteroidota; Flavobacteriia; Flavobacteriales; Weeksellaceae. The record is from Rfam by way of RNAcentral.